This 254-nucleotide ribosomal RNA is filed under the name uncultured bacterium. RNAcentral's name for it is "partial 16S ribosomal RNA". It matches the Rfam family "Archaeal small subunit ribosomal RNA", at positions 474 to 728 of the family's 1478-position model. The record is from RNAcentral.
UACCAGCACCCCGAGUGGUCGGGACGAUUAUUGGGCCUAAAGCAUCCGUAGCCGGUCAUGCAAGUCUUCCGUUAAAUCCAGCCGCUCAACGGUUGGGCUGCGGAGGAUACUACGUGGCUAGGAGGCGGGAGAGGCAAGCGGUACUCAGUGGGUAGGGGUAAAAUCCUUUGAUCCAUUGAAGACCACCAGUGGCGAAGGCGGCUUGCCAGAACGCGCUCGACGGUGAGGGAUGAAAGCUGGGGGAGCAAACGGGG